This 253-nucleotide ribosomal RNA is filed under the name uncultured bacterium. RNAcentral describes it as "partial 16S ribosomal RNA". It matches the Rfam family "Bacterial small subunit ribosomal RNA", at positions 524 to 776 of the family's 1533-position model. The record is from RNAcentral.
UACGAGGGGGGCGAGCGUUGUUCGGAAUUACUGGGCGUAAAGCGCGUGUAGGCGGCAAUGCAAGUCGGGCGUGAAAUCCCACGGCUCAACCGUGGAAGUGCACUCGAAACUGCAUAGCUAGAGUCCUGGAGAGGAAGGUGGAAUGCUUGGUGUAGAGGUGAAAUUCGUAGAUAUCAAGCGGAACACCGGUGGCGAAGGCGGCCUUCUGGACAGUGACUGACGCUGAGACGCGAAAGCGUGGGGAGCAAACAGG